AAAGCCAUAACAGGCCCCAAAGCCAUACACAGGCCUUACCCAAAGCCAUAUACAGGCCUUACCCAAAGCCAUAUACAGGCCUUACCCAAAGCCAUAUACAGGCCUUACCCAAAGCCAUAUACAGGCCUUACCCAAAGCCAUAUACAGGCCUUACCCAAAGCCAUAUAUAAGACUUACUCAAAGCCAUAUACACAGGCCUUACCCAAAGCCAUAUACAGGCCUUACCCAAAGCCAUAUACACAGGCCUUACCCAAAGCCCCAUACACAGGCCUUACCCAAAGCCAUAUACACAGGCCUUACCCAAAGCCAUAUACACAGGCCUUACCCAAAGCCGUAUAUAAGACUUACUCAAAGCCAUAUACACAGGCCUUACCCAAAGCCGUAUAUAAGACUUACUCAAAGCCAUAUACACAGGCCUUACUCAAAGCCGUAUAUAAGACUUACUCAAAGCCAUAUACACAGGCCUUAUCCAAAGCCAUAUACAGGCCUUACCCAAAGCCAUAUACAGGCAUUACCCAAAGCCAUAUACAGGCCUUACCCAAAGCCAUAUACAGGCAUUACCCAAAGCCACACACAGACCUUACCCAAAGCCAUAUACACAGGCCUUACCCAAAGCCAUAUACAGGCCUUACCCAAAGCCAUAUACAGGCCUUACCCAAAGCCAUAUACAGGCCUUACCCAAAGCCAUAUACACAGGCCUUACCCAAAGCCAUAUACAGGCCUUACCCAAAGCCAUAUACAGGCCUUACCCAAAGCCAUAUACACAGGCCUUACCGAUCUUGGUUUUUAGUCGGUUUAUUUCUCUAUUUUACAAGAAAAUACAGGGAUUUACUGUACUUUUUUCUGCUACCUUUUUCUCUUCAUGGGCUCUGCUCCAUCGUCUCUAUGACGUAAUCUAACAGUGUGGAUGAGAUACUGUCUGACAGAAGUACUUUUCCUCAUACAAAGGAUGCUGCUGAAACAAGUAACUUGUCAUUUAAAAAAAGCAACGUCAGUAAAUGUCUUGAGUUCAGUACCUGUUUUAUUCAAACCGUUAUAACAUGGCCAUAGAGCUUAAUAACAUGGUCAUUAUGUACUCUUAUAACAUGGUCGUAACAUGGUCAUAAUAUGGGUUGUACAAUCCAAGCCAGCUGUAAAAACAUCAUGCAAAUGUCUACUAGUUGUUGGCUUCAUUUCUCAAAUAUGUGUGAGUAAAUGGAUUCAAGUUGUUCCUGAAUGAAUAAUUCUGACAAAUUAGUGUUGGUCGCUUAAUCUGACAUACUUGAUCCCACAUCGUUACAAGGCUGUAAUACGAACUCUAGUCACCAGAAAUGUAGAUUUUAGAUUCAAGCAAAUAUUAAUAAGCAUUUAUAAGUUACUUUGAAGCAAUUAUCUAAUGAAUGUUUCAUAAACAAUGCUAAUAAUACAACUAAAUGCACAGGAAGUAGAGUAUUUACAGAGGAAAAAGGCACAGUGAUGACCGAUUGAUCCUGGUCACAGAGAUCAGCUGGUCUGCAGCUUGGCAACAGGCAAGUGGUGUGUAUAUAUUGUCAUCCUCUCUUGCUUUCAAAUUAGGACAUUCAUGCAGAUUCUUCAUCCACAACAAUGGGAAGACCGGCUUCAUUUUCUUGACUAGGGGCUAAAAUGCAAGCGAGGAAAAUCAUAUUAGAAUGGGUGGACAUUCAAGAAAUAUGAAGCAACAAGUUCACUUUGUAUUUCAUGUAAAUAACCCUUCUCACCUCGUUGCAGUUGUAUCGGCCUCUGCUGUGACCUCAGCUGCUUUUCAGGAGCAAGAACAAACACAAAACAGUCAUCAACCUACAUUCACUAAUCGUUAUGUAUUAAGUGUUAAGAGGCCUGGAAGGGUAAUCCUGAAAUAAAUCCUGAACUACAAAAGCUGCAAUGUCCCUUUUCUGCUGUUUGAAGUCAGUGUAGGGCACCUUAUUUGUAGUGCACUACUUCUGACCAGGGCUCCCUAGGUUUGGUUUGGCACUACUUCUGACCAGGGCUCCCUAGGUUUGGUUUGGCACUACUUCUGACCAGGGCUCCCUAGGUUUGGUUUGGCACUACUUCUGACCAGGGCUCCCUAGGUUUGGUUUGGCACUACUUCUGACCAGGGCUCCCUAGGUUUGGUUUGGCAGGCCGUGAAUCAUUCUGCACCUCAGAGAGGCUGCCCUGCUUUCUGUGUCUCUGUUUCUCUGUGUGCCGCUCUCUGUGUACACAUACAUAUAUAUAUACACAUAU
Molecule: long non-coding RNA, 2223 nt
Organism: Oncorhynchus tshawytscha (Chinook salmon)
Lineage: Eukaryota; Metazoa; Chordata; Actinopteri; Salmoniformes; Salmonidae
Source: Ensembl